UACGGAGGGGGCAAGCGUUGUUCGGAAUUAUUGGGCGUAAAGAGUAUGUAGGCGGCUAUUUAAGUCAGGCGUGUAAGCCCAUGGCUCAACCGUGGAAUUGCGUUUGAAACUAUUUAGCUUGAGUACAGGAGAGGAAGGCGGAAUUCCCAGUGUAGCGGUGAAAUGCAUUGAUAUUGGGAAGAACACCGGUGGCGAAGGCAGCAUCCUGGACCGGUAUUGACGCUGAGGAGCGAAAGCUAGGGUAGCAAACGGG
RNAcentral lists this ribosomal RNA (253 nucleotides) under uncultured bacterium. RNAcentral's name for it is "partial 16S ribosomal RNA". It matches the Rfam family "Bacterial small subunit ribosomal RNA", at positions 524 to 776 of the family's 1533-position model. The record is from RNAcentral.